RNAcentral lists this transfer RNA (63 nucleotides) under Fukomys damarensis (Damara mole-rat). It matches the Rfam family "tRNA". Rfam says of the family: Transfer RNA (tRNA) molecules are approximately 80 nucleotides in length. Their secondary structure includes four short double-helical elements and three loops (D, anti-codon, and T loops). Lineage: Eukaryota; Metazoa; Chordata; Mammalia; Rodentia; Bathyergidae. The record is from Rfam by way of RNAcentral.
AGAAGUGUAGUUCAGUGGUAGAAUGUGUGCUUAACAUACACAAGGUCCUGAGUUCCAUUUCUA